CCUACGGGGGGCAGCAGUGGGGAAUAUUGCACAAUGGGGGGAACCCUGAUGCAGCGACGCCGCGUGAGUGAAGAAGUAUUUCGGUAUGUAAAGCUCUGUCAGCAGGGAAGAAGAAAGACGGUACCUGACCAAGAAGCCGCGGCUAACUACGUGCCAGCAGCCGCGGUAAUACGGAGGGGGCAAGCGUUAUCCGGAUUUACUGGGGGUAAAGGGAGCGUAGACGGCAAGGCAAGGCUGGGGGGAAAGGCAGGGGCCUAAACCCUGGACUGCUCUUGAAACUGGCCGGCUGGAGUGCAGGAGAGGUAAGUGGAAUUCCUAGUGUAGCGGUGAAAUGCGUAGAUAUUAGGAGGAACACCAGUGGCGAAGGCGGCUUACUGGACUGUAACUGACGUUGAGGCUCGAAAGCGUGGGGAGCAAACAGGAUUAGAUACCCGAGUAGUC
RNAcentral lists this ribosomal RNA (441 nucleotides) under uncultured bacterium. Its description in RNAcentral is "partial 16S ribosomal RNA". It matches the Rfam family "Bacterial small subunit ribosomal RNA", at positions 338 to 795 of the family's 1533-position model. The record is from RNAcentral.